This is a long non-coding RNA of Capra hircus (goat), 1829 nucleotides long. The record is from Ensembl. Lineage: Eukaryota; Metazoa; Chordata; Mammalia; Artiodactyla; Bovidae.
AUUUGAGCAAACUCCAGCAGAUAGUAGAGGACAGAGGAGACUGUCAUGCUGCAGUCCAUGAGGUCACAAAGAGUCAGACACAACUUAGCAACUGAACGACAACAACUGACACUUGGGGUUGUUUGUCAAAGCAGUUGUCCUAAUAGAUGAGAUAUGGCAGGUUUCUGGGCAGGAUCAGCAACAGAUGGCAGCAGGAUCUCCACGGAAGGAAACAAAGCGCAGUGACCAGAGGGAAAUGGACAGAGUCCAGAUCAGGGUCUCCCAGGUGGCACUAGAAGCCGCAGCCUGACAUUAACUGAGCAUGACAAGAGGGAGAGCGAAGGACUGGGGUUCCCACUGUACUGUAGCCCUUGAAGGCACAGUUUGCACAAUAACGAAUGAGCACCAUAAUAACAAUUCAAUUUUCUGAGAACUGACUAGACCAAAAUGUUCCAUCCACCAGAAGAUACUUUUCUUGGCUGGUCAUGCCCCAUCAUGCUUCCAGUAGAAACGGCUGACAGAAGGCACAGAACCAAGAGCAUCCAGAGCUACAGGAAGUUCCAACACCAGGCUAGAAAGACCUGCUGCAGCAAUCCAUCACCAAAGCAAGGUCAGAAAUUAUCCUGACAGAUCCAAUGCAAUGAGUAGGAUGAAACCCCAAAGAAUUCAACCUGAGGUCAGGACUGGGUUCAAAAGCUCGGUAGCACAAAAUAUUGAAUGAGAAAAACUGACUUCAAAGCAGAAGAUGCUUUCCACUCCCUUCUUUGGAAUGGCAACCAAUCAGAAGGCAGCCUGAUACACUCGAAGGAGUACUGGACCAGUAGGAGCCCCUACUCUGUCCUCACUCCCCGUGAGAUGUGAGUUACUUAGCCUCCCUGGACCUCAGUUUCCUUUCCUAUAAAAUCAGCGGCUUGGACUACUAGACAAUUCUUACAGUGUAUAUUAACUUUAACAUGUAACUCACAUUUUCUCCAAGUCAAGGAGGCGUGGUAAUUUUAGUCGGCUUUAAGUUCAAUAAGAGCUAGUAGCAGUAGAGCAGCAGCCCAGCCAGCCCCUCAAUUGCUGGGCAGACCUCUGUUUAGUCACCAAUUUUGGGGGAAAGGGUACAUUUUGAGGGAUCUACAGGAAAGCUAGAGUCUGCCCAAAGAAAACUCUUCAGAAUUGUGGGAGAUCAUAUUCGAAUUAGGAAAAACUGAGAAACUGGAAAUAUUUAUUCUCAUGAAAACAGCCCUGGAAAGAACUGGAAUAGCUCUCAAGCCAAUAUCUGACAGGUCGCAGCUCAGAAGAGGAAUGCAGUCUGGACAGAGUGGGGCAGCUUGAGCCCAGCGCAUGAACCUGCCAUGGUGGGGCAGGAGGCUGGCCAGGUGAGAGGGGGCAGGCUGCUGCUGGAGGUGCUGGCCUGCGCCCCAGAAACAGCCUUGGGAGGCACAAGAGGAAACCAAAAUACUUCCAAGAUCUCUUAAUGCUGAGACCUGAGGAUUCAAAUUGAGGAAGGAGCAGGAAGGACUGAAGACAAGGCUGCUGGAAAAAUCAGAUGAGCAGGGUAAACUGGUGGUAAUGAGAGAGAGGACCUGGCUGCCUCUGUGAAUGACACAUUCAUCACAGGCAGUGCUGUCAGACCAACUAGCAAGAAGCAUGACCAGUGGACUGCCCCUCACAACCCGGAUGUGGGGUGCCUGGUUAGAGUGGGAGCAAUGAGACAGCAGAGCUCAGUGGCGUCCAGUUUCUGUUGGUUUUAUCUUUUAUCAAUAGAUUGUUGAUCCCCAGAGAGCAAGGAUCUUAUUUAGAUCUUUCUGCUCCCUCAUCGGUUAGCUCCUGGCUCCACUUCAGAUGCUCCACUGGUGUUCAAU